GAUGAAGAACGCAGCGAACUGCGAUAAGUAAUGUGAAUUGCAGAAUUCAGUGAAUCAUCGAGUCUUUGAACGCACAUUGCGCCCCCUGGCAUUCCGGGGGGCAUGCCUGUCCGAGCGUCAUUGCUGCCCUUCAAGCCCGGCUUGUGUGUUGGGUCGUCGUCCCCCCCGGGGGACGGGCCCGAAAGGCAGCGGCGGCACCGCGUCCGGUCCUCGAGCGUAUGGGGCUUUGUCACCCGCUCGAUUAGGGCCGGCCGGGCGCCAGCCGGCGUCUCCAACCUUCUAUUUUACCAGGUUGACCUCGGAUCAGGUAGGGAUACCCGCUGAACUUAAGCAUAUCAAUAGCGGAGA
RNAcentral lists this unclassified non-coding RNA (348 nucleotides) under soil metagenome. RNAcentral describes it as "partial contains 5.8S ribosomal RNA, internal transcribed spacer 2, and large subunit ribosomal RNA". The stretch from base 1 to 120 matches the Rfam family "5.8S ribosomal RNA", at positions 35 to 154 of the family's 154-position model. The record is from RNAcentral.